This is a long non-coding RNA of Acipenser ruthenus (sterlet), 4399 nucleotides long. RefSeq lists it as uncharacterized. The record is from RefSeq and is a predicted model, not a curated record. NCBI's taxonomy places the organism in Eukaryota, Metazoa, Chordata, Actinopteri, Acipenseriformes, Acipenseridae. The transcript is spliced from 4 exons.
CACAAAGCGAGAGCAUGACAGAUACUCCCAGAAUACCCAGCCUUUAAAUAUGCAGGAGCUGUACGCACGCAGAAGCAAGUAAGGAAACUGGUAGCAAUCACGAAACCACCAAAACAUCAAAACAGAAGGGAGUGCGUCUGUGAACAUGCAGGCUGCUGAAAUCCCCAGGCUGACUGCGAGGCAGAGCUGAGUUCAGUGGAUAAGAGGAGGCAGUGAUGCCUGCUGGCUGCAUGCAGCUCCUCGAUGCUGGUUCUUUAUAUCUUGCAAGAGAUUCACUUUGUUUGAUCAUUCACUGCUGGGGAAAACAGAAUUUAGCAAAUGUUUUUCAGGUCCCAGAGAACAGAACCAGGGGCCACGGGUGGAAGCUGAAGAAGGGCAUAUUCAGAACCCUUUCUGUUUCACAGAAAGGGUGGUGAACCAUUGGAACAGGCUGCCGUUCCAAUGAGUUGUUGAAGCAGAGACUAUCAGAUCCUUCAAGAAUAGACUGGAUGCGGUCCGUUUAGCCACAGAUUCCCAGAGGUUUCAUUUUCCCCUACUAACUUGGUUUGGUUUUAUUUAUUUUUUUCCUCUCCUGAGUGCUAACAGACCACGCUGGCAUACUCGUUCUAGAACUUCUUAUGUUAUUGUGUUCUAUGCGGCUUCCUUUGAAACAUCAGCAAACUUCAAAUUGAAAUCCUGGAAGAUGUUUUUACUUGUCUGUUCCAAUUAUUUUUUCUUCUAUGUUGUAUUCUGUCAUCUGUCUAUUCUGCUGUCAUCAUCUCAAACAUGAGAUAGCUUAAUCACAAACAGGUCUAUCUGUGGGCAAAUGUUCAAAUAGAUAGAAAAAUGAUACAUACCAAUCCAAACAAGCUACUUAUAUACUUUGCAAGAAAGGGGCAUCUAUAUAUCAUAACUCCUACACUAGCUGUGUGAGAGAAAGAAAGAAAGAAAGAAAGAAAGAAAGAAAGAAAGAAAAAAGCAGAGGAACAGCAGAAUUCUGCAAUAAAAAAACAAUUUUAGCUUGGAUAAUAGCAGGGGUAAGAGUAUUUUUUUUUGUGAAACAGAAUAAGCUGCCAGUAUUAUCUCAAAUUUAAUUACUGCUUUAUCGCCCACACUAACCACUUUAAGGCAAAAUCAGGUAUUUAUCAAGAAUAAUUAAAUACCCAUAAAAGUCAGGGCCUUUACACUACAGUAGCUGGUUAACCUUUAUAUUGUUGUCAGUGAGUGUUCAUUUUUAGGCGGAUGGGGAAAAAAUGAAAAAAAUAUGCCCAGAGGGUGAACUUGAAAAAUGAUUAGUCUUUUCAAGCAAAUAUUCUGAAGUGUAAGCGGCUUUAUCGUCUAUAGAAAAGGGAACUUUAAAGAUGCUGAGAUAUAAAAAUAUAAUUAGAGAGUUACUAAUUGCACAGGCAUAUUAAAAGGACCCCAGAAAGUGACCUCCUUUAAUAGGGGGAAUGUGUGUGUGGAAAAAUAUGUCUUAAUCUUCCCACAAUGCUUAGAUAAAUGUCAAGCGUAUCUAUCACCUCAAUUAACCACAGAGAAAAAAGCUGUCAGGAUCUAAUUCUCUUUGUGACAAGGUGUUUAUACUGCAAUCGGCAGAGGAGGAAGCAGGCAUCUGCUUAGGAAGAGCUGUGAGUCAAAGGUACUGAGACACAUGCUUUGGAUUCCACAUGCAAACUGCUGAUUAGCACCAUGGUGAAUACACAGUGCCUCUGCAGCCUGCACUGAAUACCAGGGUUAUAUAACAGGGAUACUGUACCACACCAUGAUGAAAGAGUAACAUUCGGAAUUCAGCAAGCAAGUUCACUGCUCGGAUCACGAGUGUUGUAAAGUUACUUUUCCAGCUUUCAUUGUUAGGCAUGUAAAGCAUCUCCCAUAGUGUAUCUGUACCUCUAUGAGGAGCGAUGUCUUUAUAUGACAAUACGCUACAUUGAGGUUUUAAAAUCCAUUUGCUUAUCAAGGUUUUUAUCAGACAAUUUCGUCUUCCCGUGACUCGGGUGCUUUUCGGGUGGGGUUCUGGGUUCCAUAGAUCCUACUAUAAAAUCCUACUACAGUAUUUCAAUUGUAAUCAUUGUUACAAUAGUCUGUAUCUUGUUCAAUAAUAAUGUAUUCAUACAUUUUACAUAAUAUACUAGCGGUGUCUAUAAACUAUUUCUAAUUAACAUCUUAUGAGAGAAAGAGAUUGGAUCCGAGGGUUGUGUGACACCAUAUGAAAAUCAAACUGCUCAAACUGUGCCAGGAUAAACUGCUCUUAAUAUUUGUUUAUUUUGAUUUUAUUUUUUAUUUUUUUAUGUAAGUCUGGUAGCUGAAUAAGUGCACUGUAUAGAAGCAGCUGUAAUAAUUUAUACAAAAUGAUUGUAUUCAUAUAUCAUACAUGGUAGUUUUGGUAUUGGGACAUGAAGUGUACUACUCCAAACAGCUGUGUGUGAUUUAUAAUUAGGGCUUCUGAUUGUCAGUGUUUUCCAGGGUUUUUCCAUGAAACAGCUAAAUGGGCUUUUAAAUCGUAAAUCUUACUUUUUCAUUUCAAAGCAGAAGUGACUUCUCUUUAUUCAUAUAAAUACAGUCACGCAGAACAAUUGCAAUAAAGUGUGUCCAGCAAAAAUACUGUAUUUUUCAUUCUAGCUUUAAUAAAGAUGAGUCGCUUAUUAACAUGUUGCAAUCUAGUUUGUACAGUUCUGCUUGUUCAUCAACAAUUCAGAUUUGGCCAAUUUAAAAGCUAAUUUCGUUGUAUCACAGAAAAAACAUAAAUUAAAUACAUUUUCCUAUUAACAUGUUUCUCUGUUGUGAUUGAGAUACAUGAAUGGCUUAACAGGGAGAGAGAGUAGAAAAGUUGUCGGAAGACACUGAAAAUCGGAAGCCCUGUUUAUAAUUCAAAUCUCAGCAUCCAUAUAAAUAAAGAGAGAAAUAAAAAAGUGGAUUGUAAGUUUGUUUCACUAGCCCUGCUAUCAACUGUUAAAUCAGAUGCUGUUUGGGUUUUAAAAUGUACAUUUUCAAUGUGUUUCCUUUGCCCUGUACUGUGCAUGUGGGUAAGUUAGUUUACUUCUUAACAGUGGGAUUGUUUCUUAUAAAAGGCUCCUUCCACCAUCUAUAUGUUCAACCAUUCCACCUUUCACAAGAUGCUGCAACUAAAGAGAAGUCAAAGAGGGUAAAGCAAGCAAUAUGUUAUCACUGCUGCCCCAUUUGUUCUGCUUAGGAUCUAUUGGUUAUCCUUGUAUUGCAUACUUCAGAGUCUUUCAUUUCUCAGUUUUACUGCAAAGUUCCAGCUGCACUCACACCAUGUGACCUUCUGAACACCAAGUGAUUAGAUGACAAGUUGAAUUCUCUUUUUUUUUUUAUCUACAGCUGUGUAUCCUGAAUUAGUAUACAAAACAAGCAAAGCCACACAGGUCUUGUUAAAAUGAGGUCCUGUAUAAAAGGUUACCAUAAUAAAAGCGUAACCAUGCAAAAACUGCAAGAAUACGGUGCAAAAAUAUCAUGGUAAAGGUUUAUAAGGGGUUGGGUGAAUGCUUCAAAUGGCAAUUGGAGAUAAGCAAAUGGAUUUUAAAACCUUGUGUUUGUCUGGAGCUGAGACAGAACUAGGAAGCUAAAGAGCUUAGAUAGAAUGGGUCUCCAUAGGAUUUGAUAAGACUGCAGUCCGGCUCUGCGAGUGUGGCAGCUGCAAGCCUUAUGGGAAGCACCACAGCAAUCUUGUGCGGUAAACUUCCAAUUCAACUUAAUUUCCUGCAAAAAGAGGCAGACUGGCGUUAUCUGAUAGAUAGGGUUCUGCCUUGAAAGAUGAAGUAUCCGUUAUACUUUGUGUUUGUCUUUCUGUGCAUAGCUGCCAGGAGAAUAAUUGCUGGGUGAUACAAUCAUGAUUAAGAAUUAAGCUUUUUUUUACAUAAGUGUGCAGACUGCAGAUCAUUUCAAAUGUUGACUGUGCAUUGGGCUAUCAGAUGCACAUUAUAGAAAAGGAGAAAAGACUACAUCUGGUUUACAGAUUAAGGCUAAAAAAAUAUGCAGUAUGAGAUUCAAGCAAUACAUCUGAGAAAAGGUGGAACUCACAAAACAAAGGUGAGCAAAACAAGUUAACCCUUCUACCUAUCAUUGUUUACUUCAAUGUAGUAAUAACCUAUUAACAGCAAUAGUCACCUAUGCAACAGCAACACAAAUGCAACCCACACCAUGUAAAUAUGCCUGAAACUAUUCUGUUAAAUGUGUAAAAGCCUUGCAGUUAUACUACAGUCCCAGAAUUAAACUUGGUUCACAAUUGAAUUAGAUACCAUUUAUGUGUCAUGAUUCAGUUCCAACACACCCAAUGUUGUGUUCUCCAGUUCUCUUGUGUUUUAGUACAGUGACAGACUCGGGGUGGUUAUUGUGCCAUGUUCACAUGAAAAUGAACACAGUGUCUAUAUUUAUCAACACAUAUGUUUUUUGUUUCUUUUCU